CGGGAGGCAGCAGUGGGGAAUUUUGGACAAUGGGCGAAAGCCUGAUCCAGCCAUGCCGCGUGAGUGAAGAAGGCCUUCGGGUUGUAAAGCUCUUUUAGUCGGAAAGAAAGAGUCGCAAUGAAUAAUUGUGAUUUAUGACGGUACCGACAGAAAAAGCACCGGCUAACUACGUGCCAGCAGCCGCGGUAAUACGUAGGGUGCGAGCGUUAAUCGGAAUUACUGGGCGUAAAGGGUGCGCAGGCGGUUUUGCAAGUCAGAUGUGAAAGCCCCGGGCUUAACCUGGGAAUUGCGUUUGAAACUACAAGGCUAGAGUGCAGCAGAGGGGAGUGGAAUUCCAUGUGUAGCAGUGAAAUGCGUAGAGAUGUGGAAGAACACCGAUGGCGAAGGCAGCUCCCUGGGUUGACACUGACGCUCAUGCACGAAAGCGUGGGGAGCAAACAGGAUUAGAUACCCUGGUAGUCCACGCCCUAAACGAUGUCAACUGGUUGUCGGAUCUAAUUAAGGAUUUGGUAACGUAGCUAACGCGUGAAGUUGACCGCCUGGGGAGUACGGUCGCAAGAUUAAAACUCAAAGGAAUUGACGG
Molecule: ribosomal RNA, 583 nt
Filed under: uncultured Nitrosomonas sp.
Lineage: Bacteria; Pseudomonadati; Pseudomonadota; Betaproteobacteria; Nitrosomonadales; Nitrosomonadaceae
Description: bacterial SSU rRNA
Rfam family: Bacterial small subunit ribosomal RNA
Source: RNAcentral